Long non-coding RNA from Leptidea sinapis, 1939 nucleotides. RefSeq lists it as uncharacterized. The transcript is spliced from 2 exons. The record is from RefSeq and is a predicted model, not a curated record. NCBI's taxonomy places the organism in Eukaryota, Metazoa, Arthropoda, Insecta, Lepidoptera, Pieridae.
GUAUCGAAUACCUACACGGCGAUAUAACUCAUGUAACAAUACUGCCAAUCGUUUAAACAAAAUAGCGCGGAACAUGACUUUACUUGAAUGAGCGUAUCCCAAAUCGCGCGUAAACUAGUUCGCCAUCUUUACUUAUUUUCCGAACGAUGCAAGCGAAUGACAUUUGAAUAGUGGCAGAUUUUGAAUUGUUGGAGUUUACGUGAAAUUGUAAGAAUAAUGAAAGGCCGAGGAAAACUAAUGUUAGAGAUGCUGAACACUGAAAAAGAGGAACCUGAUCCGCCAGCAGCAUUGGAGAAGACUGUGAAGCUUGUCCCCGGGCAUGGUAAUAAACUCAUCACCGAGCCUUUUAGAAUCUUCGUCUUUCUUAAAUGUUGAUCAACGGCCUACACUGCAACCUGAACAACCUAUCCCCGACAGACUACGAAGAGCUCCUGAAGGUCAGUAUAUUGUCUUAUCACCAACCCAUAGCAACAAUGAAAAAAAUCAAAUUAGGAAAAGAAAUCCCUGCUCGCAAAUUGCAACCACCUUAUAGAGGAAAGUGCCGAUUGAAAUGUACUACCAAUCUCAACUUAAUAAUUCGUCAAAAGAUUUUUAAUGCAUUUUGGGAGCUCGGUGAUCUUCAGCGACAGAGAGAGUUCAUUGUGCGUCAUACCCACGAAAUAAAACCCAAGUACCGAUAUUCAAGCACACAAAACUAUCAGGCUCUCAAUACAGCCUUCUAUUUUGAAAAGAACAACUCACGCAUUCGUGUUUGCAAAAGUUUUUUAAGGCCACGCUUGACUUAGGGGAUCAAGUAAUUUAAACAGCUUUAAGUAAAAAGCCAGAGGCUGGAAUUAUAGAGGUUGAGAAUGAGGUUGGAAUUAAAGAGGAAAACAUAAAAAUUAUCCUACGGUAGAUCCUGCAAUUAAAGAAAGCGUUGUUCAAUUUAUUAAUUCGAUUCUGGGGGUAGAAUCACACUAUCUUCGAGCUCAAACUACACGCGAAUACAUUCAAAGCGAAAGGUUUGGCUUUACGCCAAGCUAAUAACUUGUCUUUUGCUUCUGAAUCGACCUUUCAACGCAUAUUUAAUUUUCAAUUUAUUAUUGGUUUCUUUAGCCCAAAAAAAGACUUGUGUGACUUGUGCGAGAGUUAUAAGAAUGCAGAUCCUGAAAACAAAUUUAAAUUAUAGCCAACUUAGCGCGAAGUGAGAAAGAAAAGGACAAGAAAGAAUCAGAUGCCAUAGUUGUAGUUUACGAUCUCCAAGCAGUUAUGCAAAUUCCCAAAGGACAAGUGUCUUCGUUCUUUUACAAGUCUAGAAUAAAUUGUUUUAAUUUUACUAUCAGUGAUUUGCAUGCUAAGAACGUAGACUGCUUUUUUUGGAUGAGACCGAAGGGAAGCGUGGUGCAAUAGAAAUUGGUACCUGUGUUUUAGCUUUUAUAGAAAUGCAGCUAAAUAUCUAUUCUAAUGCAGAUAUAGAUUUGAUAUUUUAUUCAGAUUACUGUUGUGGGCAACAGAAAAAUGAGUAUUUAUUGUCUGCUUAUAUAUAGUCUAUAACACAUAAGUUUUUAAUUAGAGGACACUCUCAAAACGAAGGAGACUAUGUGCACAGUGUUAUAGAGAAGCAAGUGAAAAGGCAUAUAAAAUCAGGCCCUAUUUACACACCACAGCAGUAUAUAACACUAGUUCGGACUGCCAAAAAAACCGGACCAGCAUACAAAGUGCAUGAAAUGACACAUGACCGCUUUUAUGAUUUAAAAACGUUGCAAGAAAGUUGGGGUACGAACUUCAAUACAGAUGAAGAUAACAAUCAAGUCAAGUGGCACGAUAUAAAAGUCCUGAAAGUUGAAAAGGAGUCCCAUGGCCUUUUUAUAUAAAACAUCUUUUGCAAAGACUGAAUUAAAAAAAUGCUGGGUGAACAAGAGGAAGACUAGGCGUACAACAGAAUCUACGCGUGACAACA